CAGUUGUUCCGCCAGGAGCACCGCUGGGUAGCUAUGUACGGAAGGGAUAAGCGCUGAAAGCAUCUAAGCGUGAAGCCCCCCUCAAGAUGAGAUUUCCCAGUAUGUAAGACCCCUUGAAGACGACGAGGUAGAUAGGUUGGGGGUGGAAGUGCAGUAAUGCAUGGAGCUGACCAAUACUAAUCGGUCGAGGGCUUAUCCUAAA
RNAcentral lists this ribosomal RNA (202 nucleotides) under Paenibacillus polymyxa. RNAcentral describes it as "partial 23S ribosomal RNA". It matches the Rfam family "Bacterial large subunit ribosomal RNA", at positions 2718 to 2925 of the family's 2925-position model. The record is from RNAcentral. Lineage: Bacteria; Bacillati; Bacillota; Bacilli; Caryophanales; Paenibacillaceae.